RNAcentral lists this ribosomal RNA (486 nucleotides) under uncultured bacterium. RNAcentral's name for it is "bacterial SSU rRNA". It matches the Rfam family "Bacterial small subunit ribosomal RNA", at positions 29 to 507 of the family's 1533-position model. The record is from RNAcentral.
AUUGAACGCUGGCGGCAUGCUUUACACAUGCAAGUCGAACGGCAGCACGGGGGCAACCCUGGUGGCGAGUGGCGAACGGGUGAGUAAUAUAUCGGAACGUACCCGGAAAUGGGGGAUAACGUAGCGAAAGUUACGCUAAUACCGCAUAUGCCCUGAGGGGGAAAGCGGGGGAUUCGCAAGAACCUCGCGUUUUCGGAGCGGCCGAUAUCGGAUUAGCUAGUAGGUGAGGUAAAGGCUCACCUAGGCGACGAUCCGUAGCUGGUCUGAGAGGACGACCAGCCACACUGGAACUGAGACACGGUCCAGACUCCUACGGGAGGCAGCAGUGGGGAAUUUUGGACAAUGGGCGCAAGCCUGAUCCAGCCAUGCCGCGUGAGUGAAGAAGGCCUUCGGGUUGUAAAGCUCUUUCAGCCGGAAAGAAAACGCACAGGUUAAUAACCCGUGCGGAUGACGGUACCGGAAGAAGAAGCACCGGCUAACUACGUG